Molecule: long non-coding RNA, 2868 nt
Organism: Acanthaster planci (crown-of-thorns starfish)
Lineage: Eukaryota; Metazoa; Echinodermata; Asteroidea; Valvatida; Acanthasteridae
Source: RefSeq, a predicted model, not a curated record
UUUGUUCUUUCAUUGCGGUGACUGUGACGUUUGGCGGGUUUCAGAGACAAGGCUCCAGGGUCUGGUGGCUAGAGCUCCCAUGGAAACUGUUUUUGGGUGUUUACUGUUUGAGGAAUUGUUCAGAUUGUCUCGGUACCAAUAAUUUCCAUAUUGACGGCAUCUGGAAAGUUUCUUCCGUUGAUCCAGGCUAUGUGUGAUGGAGAACAGUUGGCGAAAACCUACCCACGACCAAUGUUGGUAACAAAAGUUCAUAUGGCGCCAGCACCUGUGAUGCUUCCCAGUUUUUGUAACACUGUUAGUGUAUGGAUUCUUAACUGAAGCAUCGCUUUUCUCGAGGCAAAAAUUUGGGUUGUAGCUGGAUUAUACGUCAUCAUGCGUCUGGCAUGAUUAGCCUAUGCUUCUGUGGUAUCAAAAAAUUAUCCGUCAACCUAACCAGGCACGAAAUAGGUCUUUUUUUUAUAUGAGAACCUUUAGCCAGGGUCGUUUGCUUAUGCAAACUAGAAUCGUUUAGGUAAAAUUACAAACUCAGUUAGUGUGUCAGGCUGUGAAGACACUAGUUAGGUAGGUCGAAUAAAUGCUGUCAUGUUUGUGGAUACUUUUGUGACAUAUUGUAAUUCCGUGCUUUUUCUUUUAAUUUCAACCAUGGUCACGACCCUAAUUUCCACCGUCCUGACGUAGGCCUACAGUAUAAUCGAUUUUGAUGUCUCAGCUUUGCUUUGAAAUCUCCAUUCCGUUUUAGUGUGACCUUACUGCAACUCCUUGGUCACGCCUCGCUGUCUGUCAUGAUUCCACACCAGCAUUUUGGGGUAUACAAGCUUAGAAGCGUUGUUUCAAUGUUUGUAUGACGGACGAGUGCUUGGAGCUGAUUGAAAAGGAUAGUCACGUGACGAUGUUUUGUUCCUUGAUACUGAAAGCUUUGUCAUCUCUAAAGUUGCUUGACAUGAAUUGUGGUGACCAACCGUGAACGGAAGCCGAGUCCCUUCAAGCUUUCAUUGGUAAACCCAACAACACCGCCCACAUAGUUGUAAUGUACAUGUAGUUCUGGACAUAAUGCUGUACCGUACAUUUUGUCUCAUUUGUUAAGCACCAGGCACUGCCAGGCAACAGUAUUCAAGGAUAUUUCUUUAUAUGGAAUGAAGGAAUUUACUGUGCAUUGCUGCUAUUAUGGUGUGGACAAUGUUCAAAAAUGCAUCAAGGCGCUCCCGAGCCAGUCAGUAUCCCCGUCAAUUGAUCUACCUUAGUUUCAACCAUGUACCCUUCUUGGUUCACAUUUAAAUGCAAUUCUUGUACAUGCAUUGGUAGUGUCGGUUAAGGGCGGAUCCAGAACCAAAUUUUAGGGGGGGGGAGAACUUUAGCGUGUGUCACCCGUUCUACGGAACCCGUGGCUCCAAAACAAGCGAACGUUUAUUACAGACACUACUAUUUUGUAUGUAACCUGUUGAGCCUUUCUGAGGGGUGAAAGUAAAUUCGGGGGUUUUAAGGGAAAAAUUCCUAAACAAAAGUUUGAGGAGGGAGGAUGUCGCCGCCCUUGCCCCACCCCCCAUCUGCAGCGUGCAGCGAUGCAUUAUAUCGGUAUUCAUGCUAUUAAUUUUAAAAUUUGUGUUUUAUCCAACAGAAUCGUAUAGGCCUUUAUAAUCUUUUAACAGGAUGCGUCUCUCCUUAACUGCAGCAUUUGAUCUCUUAUCCGAACAAUCGACACGAUAAUUAGUUCAACGGAACGUUUCGGUAUUAUCUUUCCUGCGUGACAGGCUUACAGGCACGGAACAGCCAUAGAGAAAUGCUACAUCAGAGAUCGUUUGUCGGUUGAGUCACCGGACGGAACUAACAAGCGCUUGGGUUCGAAGUCCAUUGCGGUUUCGCAACUUUUUUUCUCUCGCGUGCGGAGCGUUUGAUAGAGAUACCCAUCUUCAGCGUCUCCCGCGAUGUCUGUAUUUGCUAAUUUGACUUGAGUGAACACGGAUAUGUGCCCAUCACGCACACAAUGGAUGGCUGAAUGAGCCAUGACGAGUGUUUGUCUUUCCACCCAUUUGUGGGGAACGAAGGAUGGCAUUGUUUUCAGUACAAGGGAUCAAUGCAACCGGCAGAACUAUGCAUGCUCAAAAAGAUAUAUCCUGCAUGAUGCCCUUCACUCAUGAACCCCUUCACCCAACUUGCCACCUUCACCGUGAAAAGCUUCAAAGCUGUAAAACAUUAGGCUAAUGUUUGACAACUCUCUGUUCAAAAAAAAAAAAAAUAAGUGUAUUCCCCAGACGUAGCAGGCUCUGUAUAAGCUUGACUGAAAAGUUCGGGGCGGGAGUACUUACCAAUGUUGCUUUAUUAUAAGAACAGUUAUGUUUUACCUGGAAAAAGUUAUAAGGGGAAACUGUGAAAAGCAUGCGCUCUUAUCUCUAAAACAGUACGACUAAUAGUCUCUCCCCAUCCUACCAACUCUACCGCUGAUGCACUUAUGGUGAAAGCCUCUCUUGUGAAAAAAUACGUGGUUGGCAAGUGUUUUCAAAAUUCAAGGAACGGGGUUUACUGUGAGGUUGCCCCGAGUCGGCUAUAAAAAGUACAAUAAUACAGACUUGUCGACGUUUAACAUUAGGGCCUCUGACGGAGUGUGAAGGCUUCAUUAAUUGUCAGAACGGACCUCGUGUCUUCUUCCUCCAUAACCCCUUCCUUAAGCCUGUAUGACUGAUUGGAGCUGGAUGGGAGCAUGAUCGUGCAGCAAAGCUGUCGAGUUGCCAGUGCUAACUAUACCUGCACAGUAGCAUAUCAAAUGUGGUGUGUGGGAGGGCAAAUUGAAAUCGCAAAGGCCCUUUCGGGCUCAUUCAACAUAAUUCUUGGGGGGGGGUUGCAAUUUUUUAAUGAAUAAAUAUACUGAUUAGU